This 157-nucleotide ribosomal RNA is filed under the name Auricularia auricula-judae (jelly ear fungus). Its description in RNAcentral is "5.8S ribosomal RNA". It matches the Rfam family "5.8S ribosomal RNA". From Rfam's summary of the family: 5.8S ribosomal RNA (5.8S rRNA) is a component of the large subunit of the eukaryotic ribosome. It is transcribed by RNA polymerase I as part of the 45S precursor that also contains 18S and 28S rRNA. The record is from RNAcentral. Lineage: Eukaryota; Fungi; Basidiomycota; Agaricomycetes; Auriculariales; Auriculariaceae.
CAACUUUCAGCAACGGAUCUCUUGGCUCUCGCAUCGAUGAAGAACGCAGCGAAAUGCGAUAAGUAAUGUGAAUUGCAGAAUUCAGUGAAUCAUCGAAUCUUUGAACGCACCUUGCACUCCUUGGUAUUCCGAGGAGUAUGCCUGUUUGAGUCUCAUG